CUACGGGUGCUGCAGUGGGGAAUAUUGGACAAUGGGCGAAAGCCUGAUCCAGCCAUGCCGCGUGUGUGAAGAAGGCCUUCGGGUUGUAAAGCACUUUCAGUGGGGAAGAAAGCCUUGGGGCUAAUACCCUCGAGGAAGGACAUCACCCACAGAAGAAGCACCGGCUAACUCCGUGCCAGCAGCCGCGGUAAUACGGAGGGUGCGAGCGUUAAUCGGAAUUACUGGGCGUAAAGCGCGCGUAGGCGGUCUGAUAAGCCGGUUGUGAAAGCCCCGGGCUCAACCUGGGAACGGCAUCCGGAACUGUCAGGCUAGAGUGCAGGAGAGGAAGGUAGAAUUCCCGGUGUAGCGGUGAAAUGCGUAGAGAUCGGGAGGAAUACCAGUGGCGAAGGCGGCCUUCUGGACUGACACUGACGCUGAGGUGCGAAAGCGUGGGUAGCAAACAGGAUUAGAUACCCCAGUAGUC
RNAcentral lists this ribosomal RNA (463 nucleotides) under Vreelandella stevensii. RNAcentral's name for it is "partial 16S ribosomal RNA". It matches the Rfam family "Bacterial small subunit ribosomal RNA", at positions 339 to 795 of the family's 1533-position model. Lineage: Bacteria; Pseudomonadati; Pseudomonadota; Gammaproteobacteria; Oceanospirillales; Halomonadaceae. The record is from RNAcentral.